RNAcentral lists this ribosomal RNA (429 nucleotides) under Pseudomonadota bacterium. Its description in RNAcentral is "Proteobacteria bacterium partial 16S ribosomal RNA". It matches the Rfam family "Bacterial small subunit ribosomal RNA", at positions 355 to 776 of the family's 1533-position model. The record is from RNAcentral. Lineage: Bacteria; Pseudomonadati; Pseudomonadota.
UGGGGAAUAUUGGACAAUGGGCGAAAGCCUGAUCCAGCCAUGCCGCGUGUGUGAAGAAGGUCUUCGGAUUGUAAAGCACUUUAAGUUGGGAGGAAGGGCAGUAAGCGAAUACCUUGCUGUUUUGACGUUACCGACAGAAUAAGCACCGGCUAACUCUGUGCCAGCAGCCGCGGUAAUACAGAGGGUGCGAGCGUUAAUCGGAUUUACUGGGCGUAAAGCGUGCGUAGGCGGCUAAUUGAGUCGGAUGUGAAAUCCCCGAGCUUAACUUGGGAAUUGCAUUCGAUACUGGUUAGCUAGAGUGUGGGAGAGGAUGGUAGAAUUCCAGGUGUAGCGGUGAAAUGCGUAGAGAUUUGGAGGAAUACCGAUGGCGAAGGCAGCCAUCUGGCCUAACACUGACGCUGAGGUACGAAAGCAUGGGGAGCAAACAGG